AUUGAACGCUGGCGGCAGGCUUAACACAUGCAAGUCGAACGGGCGAGGUUGCUUCGGUAACUGAGCUAGCGGCGGACGGGUGAGUAAAGCUUAGGAAUCUGCCUAUUAGUGGGGGACAACAUUCCGAAAGGGAUGCUAAUACCGCAGACGUCCUACGGGAGAAAGCAGGGGAUCACUUGUGACCUUGCGCUAAUAGAUGAGCCUAAGUCGGAUUAGCUAGUUGGUGGGGUAAAGGCCUACCAAGGCGACGAUCUGUAGCGGGUCUGAGAGGAUGAUCCGCCACACUGGGACUGAGACACGGCCCAGACUCCUACGGGAGGCAGCAGUGGGGAAUAUUGGACAAUGGGGGGAACCCUGAUCCAGCCAUGCCGCGUGUGUGAAGAAGGCCUUUUGGUUGUAAAGCACUUUAAGCGAGGAGGAGGCUUACCUGGUUAAUACCUGGGAUAAGUGGACGUUACUCGCAGAAUAAGCACCGGCUAACUCUGUGCCAGCCGCCGCCGUAA
This 503-nucleotide ribosomal RNA is filed under the name uncultured bacterium. RNAcentral describes it as "partial 16S ribosomal RNA". It matches the Rfam family "Bacterial small subunit ribosomal RNA", at positions 30 to 523 of the family's 1533-position model. The record is from RNAcentral.